RNAcentral lists this long non-coding RNA (6779 nucleotides) under Homo sapiens (human). RNAcentral describes it as "HSALNT0382094". Lineage: Eukaryota; Metazoa; Chordata; Mammalia; Primates; Hominidae. The record is from RNAcentral.
CUAGGCCUUCACAUUCAUUCACCACUCACUCAUCCAGAGCAACUACCAGUCCUGUAAGCUCCAAUUAUGGAGUGGUGAGGUGACAAGAAGGAGUGGCUCAUUUGCAUGAUCUCCGGCUGCAAUGGCAACCACACUCAAGUGGGAGUCCUGACUCUUCCACUGACUGCCUGUGUGACCCUGGGGAAGGUACUUAGCCUCUCUGAGUUGCUGGAUUCUCAUCUCUAAAACUGGAUUUUAAAAAAUCUGCUAUCAACCUCACCUAUGCUGGCUAGAAAAAGGCAGCAUAUUUCUCACCUAUGCUGCAACCUCACCUAUGCUGCAACCUCACCUAUGCUGCAACCUCACCUAUGCUGGCUAGAAAAAGGCAGCAUGAUUUUCAAACUUAGAAGAAAUCUUAUGUAGAAUUUAAGCACACAGAAACAUGCAGAAACUUAUAGGUUAAAAAAAAAAAGAGGGAAAAUACAUUGAUAAAUAAAUUGGGGUGAAGGAGCAGACCAAAGGUGGUCCUUGCAGUGAGAGAUGAUUGUACAUAGCCCUGCUGGAAUGUGGCAGGAGCUUGGCUGCAAUGUGGCCAGGGGAGCCAUUUCCACUGCUCCUGAGGGUGGGGCAGGAUGAGCGAGAAGAGAGGCUGAGUAAGGGUGGAAGAGAAGAGCCCAUGAAGGUUGGGGAGAAACACUCACCGUGUGUCAGGAACUAAGAAGCUUUUUAACUUGCUGGCAAUAAGGUGUGGAUGUGGUCUCUUUUCAGGACCUCAGUGUUUUCAGUAAGUUCAGCUGUUGGUGUGAUGGACCAGGCAAGUAUGUGUGAUUAUUUAUUGGCUUAUUUCUUUAUUUAUUAUGUGGAAAAGGGGAGUUUCCAUCGACUCAAUGUGAGGUGGUGAUGGCCCCCCUCAAUGUGAAGUGGUGAUGGCCCCAGGAUCCCACAGCAGGGGAAGCUCUGGGAAUUCCCAGAACCUGGGAGGAGCUGCUGGCUUCACCAAGCUGUGCAGCUGGGGGCUUGAGAUGCCUCAGCUGGAUGUCUUGAAAGGGUGUUGCUCCGCCUGGCCAUGGGCAGAUGGGGUUCGUGAGCUCCCCGGGACGUCGUCUGUCACUUUCUCCAGCAACUCCGGCUUCUUUGGAGUUGACAGCUGGCCUGGCCGUGGCAAACGCUCCCGUGCCUGAGGCCAAGUCCCUCUCAUUGCCAUCCCUGCUUGGAUGGAUUCCUAUGGCUGCAGUGGGAGGGGGUGCAGGAUGGCUAACGAGACCAUGGAGAACUCCUGUCCUCUACAUGGAGGGACAGGCCUCUCUCCACAGACUCCAGGGCCUGGGAGCGAGACCUGGAAGGCCAGAGGUCCCAGCUGGAGUGUGCAGGUGUGUGCAUGUGCAUGACCUGUAUCUGCUGGGGAGUGAGUUGAGAAUUACAGGUGUCCCUCUUUCAAGAAGUUCAGUUUCCUCAUCCUCUCCUCUGAAUCCCUCAGGGAGAGAGAAAAUACCCGGCCUCCUUUCCUGGUGCUGGAAUUCUCUCCCACUCAGGGCUUCCUAGAUCUGGUCCCCAGAUGCCUCUUGGAAUAUCUUAGUGGGAAAAUGUAUGAUGAAUGUCCCCAGGCCUGGAAGAACUGUGGAGCCUCAGAGCCACAGGUGAGAGGCAGCCUGAUUCUGAGACAGGCCAUAGACUUCGGAAACAUCCUGCCCAGGGGUCAGUCCCAGCUCCAACUCUCACUUGCUCUGUGACCUUGGGCAUGUCACUUAACGUCUCUCAGUUCUUGUUUCCUCCUCUGUAAAAACCUGAUAGGUUGUGACGAUGAAAUUAACACGUGACAAAAUGCCCUGUGAAUUGCAGGUCCUGAAAUGCUGGUUUUGUAUCUGUUGCAGGUUAGGUUCUCAGGGAAGUAAAUCUGAGACAGAGUUUAACACUCUGGUAGAGUUAAUUAGGGAGCGCCCUUGGGAUCAACAGCAGUGAGAAGGAGGGAAGGAGUCUGCUGCAGUGGGCAGAAGGGGAGGUUAUCUGUGAGGCAGGCCCAAUCACAGCCUUGCUUGAUUCCCAGGGAGCUCUGGAGCCAAAAUGGUCUCUUGCACCCUGUGCUGGACCUCCCCAUGACAACACCUGGGUUCAGUGAUUAGCUAAGAGGACUCACAGGACUCAGCAUAUAGUGGCACUCAUGGCCGUGACUUGUUACAGUCAGAGGAUACAAAAUGAAGUCAGCAAAGGGAAAAGUCACAAGAGAAGUCCAGAGGAAACCAGGCACUAACUCCCGGGAGUGCUCUCCGAGCGGAGUCACGCAGGAAAGCAUCAUUCCUCCAGCAACAAGCUGUGCCUGCACGUGUCGAAUGUUGCCAGUUCACUAGAGACUCAGGGCUUAGGGCUUUUGUCAGGACAGCGAAGGGCCAGGAACACAGGCACCCUCUGCCUGCCAUGUACCUAAAUUCCAGGCUCCCAGAAGGAAAGCAGGUGCUCAGCACACGUGGUAUUGUCUGGACAGUAUAGGCACAGUGAGACAUUCUUAUCAGGGAAUGGUGGGAAACCUCCCCAAAUCCAGGUUCCCAGAUGCCAGCCAAGGGCCAACCUGGCCAGCAGGACUUUCUAAGGAGAGCAGUCUCAUGUGGCUUUGCUAACACGUUUCUGCACAGUCCUCCACCUUGAUCAUUGGUCACUGGAUGUGGUCCUCCUUGGGGAGAGGUGUGACCUUGUGUGUGGCUGCCCAGUACAGCUGAGGCCAUCCCUGCAGGGGCUGACCACAAAGCUGCCUGCUCCCAGCUCUGCCAGCAAGAUCUUCCUCUAAGGGGGACUCUGCAUUUAAGUCUGCACCCCAGGCAGAGAUGAAUAUGGCUGUAGAAUGACAAGGAUCCCUGCUGUUGGAAAUCUGGCCACUCUAGGCCAUAUCACCUCCUGUGGACCCUGGAAAACUAAGCCACAAGGAAGCCACCUGAGAGGGGAGGGAAUCUCUGACAUUGUUCAUCCAUGAAUCAUUUACAGAAUGUGCAUAGGGCAGAGAGCUUGAUGUUCAGAGUGGACAGUAAGAUAGUGCUAGGGAGACAGCUUGUUGGUAAACACAGAUAAUUGUACUGGAGGAUAAUAGACUGAGAGGGAAGACAUAUUUGCUGAAUUGAAUUGAUCCCAUUGACCACCUUCCCCACUCUUAGUGCUGUGGGUUUAGAACCACAAAUGGGACUUGAUUUCUGCCCUUUGGUGCUCACUGGGCAGGCAGGGAGGGUGAGCUGUAAUCAGAAAGAUGUGAUGAUUGGAAAAAGUCAACCAGGGAGCAGGAGGUGGGGAGGGCCUGGGAGACCCCAUGUCUAGUGGGAAUGGACUGAGAGUUAACCAAGUGGACAAGGAGAGAAAGGGGAUUUCAGAAAUGGCCAACACAACAGACCUUCGGUAACUUGAAGCCCACGGAAACUGUGAUCCCCAGUGUCGCUCUUUUAAGUAGUUUCUUCUAGAUCAGGAAAAUUUCCUGGAGUCAUAGAAUCUCAAAUUAGAGAGAAACUUAAAAGACCCCUUAGCUGAGUGUGCAAGUCAUUGGAAAGUAUCUACUUGCACCACUCUGAUGACAGGGAGCUCACUACCUACUGAGACCAUGCAUUUGUGUGGGUCACUCAACAUGUUAGCAAAGUCUUCUGCAGAGCUGGAAUCGAUUUUCUCAUUUCUCCCACUCAUCGAUCCUGAUUUUAUUCUUUGGAUUAACCAAGAACAAGGGUAACUUUUUAUGGAAUCAAGAGGGUCUGUAGGUUUCCUAUUGUUCUCUAAGCAGCUAGUCCUUCUGUCCAGUCUCAUGAAGCAAGGCAGAGGCUGAGCUGUUCUGCAGGGAGAUUCUAUGAUAUAAUGAAGAGAUGCAGAUUGAGACUCUGGAGCUAGAUCGCCCGCACUGGAGUCUCACCUAUGCCCCUUACUGUAUGACCUUGGCAGGUAACCUCUCUGUGCCUCAGUUUCUUCAUUGGCACAAUGAGGGUAAGCAUGGUAACCUACGUGAUUGGGUGAUGGUGAGGAUUAAUUGACUUAAUACUUGGGAAGUGCUCAGAACAGUGCCAGCAUAUAGCUGGUACUCAGCAAUGUAAGAGCUUCGGUUACUAUUAAGAAACAACUUUAAUUGCCUCCAGGACAAGUGCCACAGACCUACUACCUAAAAUGAGAUGGAAAUGGCCUACGUGGAUGGAUGAGGAUGGGGCUUUUACUUGUGAAUCAAAGCCGCCAACCUCAUUCAUACGUAUUGUCUCCACUAUUAUCCCUGCUUUUGUAACCUGUAUGUCAGCCACUUGGCUGUCCCCACGCUCUCCUGUCAUGGAGUCACCCUUUCCUAUUUAAUAAAAGUGCUGCACGUCCCCAUUUCAUGAAUAACGGGAAACUUACAGCCUGAUCCCCUCUACCACUGAGGCCCUAAAGCAACCACAGCUUUACGCUGUCACAUGUUCUGCUGAUGACAGGUGGAUCAUGGAGUGUAUAUUUGUGUUAUGGCAUGGCAGAGGGAACUUCAAAUUAAAUGUCACUCAUUGGUCCCUAAAGAUCCUGGCCACACCUUCCUUGGGAAAAUUUCCCCCAGGCGUCUGGAUCUCCCAGCUCCUCACUCUCCCUGGACCUCACAUUUCUCCCUUUCUUUGUUUUCUCGGCCCUUCUACCUCUCUCCCGUGGGCUGCCCUCCUGAAGCUCAGGUUUCCUUCGCUGUCUUUAGCAGAGCAGCUUUUAGCUCUCCACAUCUACUACUUGGGCUGGGACCCAUUUUUGUACAUCAAAAUCACAGGCUGGACCCAGCAGAGGCCUGACCUGCCAAUCUUCCCUUUACAAUGAUCAGUUUCUCCAGUGCGGCCACCCUCCCCCACCAGACUCCGCCAGUGAAAGGCAUCUGGGCCACGAUGUAGUCUUUCUCUGAUAUAAAUUAUUCCACAUCCCUGCCCCCUUUAAAGGCAGAUGGAGUUACUGUCUUUUACUUUUUAAAGCAAUUUAAAAUCUUGCCUGCUAAGCCUGGAAGGUCUUCUUUUCUUCUCCCUGGCUCCUCAAAUUCUGCCUGUCUCCCUCUAGGAAUGAGCUCAGAAUCUUCCUCCUCUAGGCAGCUUCCCUGAUCGAGUGGCUUUGAAUCUUGUGGCAAGGCCCCCAUUUGGCCAUGACCUACCUGCCACCUGAAGUUAAUAUCAUUCCCAAGCUUUGUUGCCCCAAUUAUUGUAGAAUGCCCUUUCCCAGAAGUCUCAGGAGACUUAAAGUUCGCUGGAGGGUGGCCUGGGUGCAGGAGGAGCAAGGCAUCAGAGAGGCCUGCAUUUAUUCCUGCCUUCCCCGUCCGCUGGCUGUGUGGCCCUCCCUCAGUUACUUAACUUCUCUGAACUCAGUGUUCCCAUCUGGAAAAGGGGGAAAGAAUGCCUGCAUCACACCAUUGCUGUGAGAAUUAAAAGAGGUCAAGUGUGUCAAAUGCCCCGCAGAGUCUGGUACAUGGGAGGGGCUUGAUCAAUGUUGAAUUCUUUCCUUCCUCUAGAAGAACCCACAGGAUAAAGGGGCAGGGAGAACAGGAAACUGGCUUCAGAUGGUGCCCUAGGGGGACUAAAAACUGAAGGGAAGAUGUGCUUACUGAAAAAAUGGGGUGGUUGGGUAAAUGGGUGAGAAUAAGACACACUGGAUCCGGAAGGCCACGUGACAAAGCCUGUGGGGCCCCUGCAGGGAGCUGAAUGCGGCAGAAAAGACCGCAGCUGGCUUCCUUUCUUCUUUGUGGCCCAAAUUGAAGAGGACACUGGAUUCCUCUGAUGGAGUUCUGCUCCCUAGAGCUGAUGCUGCAGAUGCUGCUCUCAGGGUCCUUGGGCUUGCCCCCAGCCAAUGGGAAAGAGAGGUCAAGACUGUGCUCAGCUUGGUGGACCUGAGACAUCGAGGAUCCUUCUGAAAGGAUGGCCUGAGGCUUGGAGCGUCAGAGGAAGUCUGGGGCCAACUCUGCCUCUCUGAGCUUCAGUUUUCUCUUCUCUGCAACAAGAGCAUUGGGCUGUAUAAUCCCUAGAAGGAGACCCUUCUGCUCAGGGAAGGGUCCUGCUUGGACUAUUGCAGUAGCCUCCAAGUAGCUUGAACUUUGCUCAGACUCUCCCCUCCCCAAUCUGCUAAGCAGAUUGUUGACAAGAUUCUCUGCAGUUUGCUGCUUUGAUGAUGUCCCUCUCCAGCUCCAAAUUGUUACUGGCUCUCCAUUGACUACAGGUAAAAUGCAGACUUCUCAGCCUGAUCUUCCACAAUCUGACGUCAGCCUACCUCCUCAUCCUGCCUGGGCCUGGAGGCAUGCCAGCCAAUUCAGACCACUUGCCAUUUUUCUUUUUCUCCUCUGCAUCUGGAAUUGCUGUCAGUGAAACCUUCUCUUUCCCUCAAGGAGCACCUUGAAUGCUGGCCCCACAUCACCUUCCUGACCCUGUCAGCUCAAAGAGGUUUCUCUGCAUCUGAACUCCAUGUGUUCCAGUCUCUGGGUCCUUACCAUGCACUGCUGGGGCAUGCUGUGUGCUGGCCGCCGUCCCUCCUCAUGCUCAGAAGCAGAGCCUAUGACUUAGUCACUUUGGUCUCCCCAGCGCCCAGAGCAGAUAUUUGCACAGAAGAGGAGCUCAAUAAAUGUUUGUUUAAUGAAUGAAUAUAUAAUUCUAACCCAGUGCCCUGCUUUCUUACAGUGACAUUCAAGUCAUCCUAGGCCAAAAAAAAAAAAAAAUGCCUAUUUACCUUCCAAAAUUACCUCUCAUAUUGGUCAAAAUUAAAAUAAACACUUGGCGGAUUAAGACCUGGCCUGUCAUAUUGUAUCUGACACCAUUAAGAACCAAGGUUGGGGUGCCUCACGGUUGACUUCCACUGAUCUAAGAUGU